This 1111-nucleotide long non-coding RNA is filed under the name Gossypium barbadense (sea-island cotton). Its description in RNAcentral is "long non-coding RNA (GBAR_LNC005893)". Lineage: Eukaryota; Viridiplantae; Streptophyta; Magnoliopsida; Malvales; Malvaceae. The record is from RNAcentral.
AAAAAGAAAAAAGAAAAAAAAAGAGGGAACGAUAAUGGAACAGAGAGCCUGAAUGCUCUCCUUUUGUUCCUUUCUCGGUCUUUAGGCUUAGACCUCCGUCUCCGCCUCCAUGGCCAGUGGCCGGAGUCGCGCGAGAACGGUCUCUCUCCUUGCGGCGUCCUCGAAGGCUAAGCCUUCUCAACCGCGAUAUCAAAAGGAAAAGGGAUGAACCGCCUCUUUCGGCCCAACUCCGACGACGGCGAGGGUAGGGCUCCGACACUAGCCCACCAAAGCAGUAAGGUAUUUCCUUUCCCUUUCAGUUCCUUUUACUUUGUUGAACAAUUGCAGAGAAAAAAAGAAAAAAUAAUAAAUAAAGAGUAAAGAAUAAGGAACCAGAACAGAGAAGAAAAAAAUGGGAGUCAACCUUUUUUGAUCUGUUUCUUUUUGAAUUUGAAAUGCCGUGUCCUUUUACAGAGAUAUUGUUUUUGCUUUUAUAUCCCAUUUACAAUGUAUUUUAAUUGUGUUCUUUGUAUUAUCCAUUGUGUACUCCGACUUUCUCUGCCAUUUCGCAGGUGUUGAUGGGGCUAGGCACGGUGGGUGGCGAUGGGACAUGGCAGACGGCAGAGGGGGGAUGCGGCGCUAGGUUUGGCUAGGUGGUUUAGGUUUAGGUGGGCCUUGGGUGUUUUAUUUGGGUUGGUUUUGGGUAGCGGGCCACCGGGUAAAUGGGCCUGCAACAGCUGCCCCUCUUUGCUCAUUGUCGUGUAACGAGAAUAGAGCAAAGACCAAGAAAGGCCAAUUUUGCCCGGUCGCCUGUUUUGGACUCGUCGUGGUGCUUUUCUUCUAGCAGCUUCACUCUAGUCUACUGUGUCUCGUUGCUUCAAUCCAUUCUGUCGUAACUUCAGGGGGUAAGGUCCGUCAUUUUGACCCGCUCCACUGCAACUUCAGGGGGAUAAGACUUGUUGUGUUCAGUCUAUUCCACUGCAUCUUCAGGGAAAUAAGACCUGAUGCGAUCUACUCUGCUGUAACCUCAGAGAGAUAAGAUCCUUUAUUUUAAUCCGCUCCACUGUAACUUCAGGGAGAUAGGAUAGUGUCUUCGAUCUGCUCCGCUGUAAUCUCAGGGAGAUAAGAUCUC